UCCCUCAUAGCUUAGUCGAUAAAGAAUCUGUCUGCAAUGCAGGAGACCCAGGUUCAAUUCCAGGGUUGGGAA
RNAcentral lists this transfer RNA (72 nucleotides) under Bos taurus (domestic cattle). It matches the Rfam family "tRNA". From Rfam's summary of the family: Transfer RNA (tRNA) molecules are approximately 80 nucleotides in length. RNAcentral also lists the same sequence under 5 other names. The record is from Rfam by way of RNAcentral. Lineage: Eukaryota; Metazoa; Chordata; Mammalia; Artiodactyla; Bovidae.